UCGGGAAUAUUGGACAAUGGAGGAAACUCUGAUCCAGUGACGCCGCGUGAAGGAAGAAGGUCUUCGGAUUGUAAACUUAUUUUGUCAGGGAAGAAAAAAAUGACGGUACCUGAAGAAAAAGCACCGGCCAACUACGUGCCAGCAGCCGCGGUAAUACGUAGGGUGCAAGCGUUAUCCGGAUUUACUGGGUAUAAAGGGCGAGUAGACGGUUAUCUAAGUCAGAUGUGAAAUUCCAGUGCUCAACAUUGGAACUGCAUCUGAAACUAGACUACUAGAGUGCAGGAGAGGAAAAUGGAAUUCCUAGUGUAGCGGUGAAAUGCGUAGAUAUUAGGAGGAACACCAGUGGCGAAGGCGAUUUUCUGGACUGUAACUGACGUUGAGGAGCGAAAGUGUGGGGAGCAAACA
RNAcentral lists this ribosomal RNA (405 nucleotides) under uncultured Eubacteriales bacterium. Its description in RNAcentral is "uncultured Clostridiales bacterium partial 16S ribosomal RNA". It matches the Rfam family "Bacterial small subunit ribosomal RNA", at positions 355 to 774 of the family's 1533-position model. Lineage: Bacteria; Bacillati; Bacillota; Clostridia; Eubacteriales. The record is from RNAcentral.